UGGGCUUUGGGGGAUGGCAGGCAGAGGGCCCCUGGGCUGGCCCUGCUGUAGUGCCUCUCGUGAAUACUCCUAAGGGAGCCCUAAUGUUUACCAACUAGGGGUUCAAGGAAGUAGGGGGGAAUGCUUUCAGAGGGCCCUAUGAUUAUGAAAGCCCCUGCUAAGGGUCGUGACUUCUGGCUAUGUGGGGGCCCUAGGGAGAGCCCUAAUGGGAAAGCAUUCUGUUAAGAGAGCCCUCUUAUUACAAAUGUUCUUAAAGGGCCUCUGAUUUACCAAGGGUUUUGAAUGAAAGUCCUUUCAGUGAGCCCUAAGACCGAGGAUAUGCUAGCUGUGUGACUUAAUUUACGUGCGCAACCGCACAUACUUGCAGCAGAACGAUGAGAGCAAUACGCACGAUACUGGUAGUCUUGCCAAAAACAAAUCACCCAAAGUCGCUAUUGGUUCUCUGAAAAGUCGUUAGAUUACGUCAUGACGUUACUAUGAUGUCAUAACAUCAGACACGACUCACUGAGCUCAAGAAAAUGUGUCUACAUGGCUAUGUUGACAAUCCCAAAGGGUACAGUUUACAGAGAACGGGGCUAAUGCGCAGUGCUGCUUAACCAUGCAAUAGGCUUCUGGUGGCGAUGCAGAGCUCAAGUUACAUUGAAAAACAAUGGUUUUGACACUCGAGAGAUGUGUUUUUUAAAGUCGCCAGAUUCAUCUAAAAAGCCGCUAAGUCGCUAGAUGAGGUUUUAGUCGCCAGAGACGGCCAAAAGUCGCUAAAUCUAGCGACAAAGUCGCUAAAUUGGCACCAUUGGAUACUGGCGGUUUCAUGUAGGGGGCAGAUAGCCAACCGGGCUCUCAUUAAUAUUUUCCACCAUUGUUUGACUCUACCACGAGCUAAACAUGGAAGUUCGGAAGAUCGCCCCUCGCGGUUGUGUCAAUAUUGCAACAUGCGCACAUGUCUGAAUACCUUGUGUUCAGGUGUGCUAUUACGCGUAACAUGGACAUAAAAUACGCAUGGCAACGCAUUCAGGCAUGAAAUGUGCACACGGCAAGCAUAUCCUGGGCCUAACGCUGGCCCCAGUAGACAGCUAGUAGAAGCUGGACCUAUUUUCUAUGAGAAGUGAUUUCGCUCCCGCACAGUAUUGUGUGUACACAAUACGACAUGGUCCUUGGAGUGCAUCGAAACUGUCAUUGCGACACGUCCAAAAGUUCAGAAAUCUCCAACUCCACGCAAAUUUAUCGCGCGUGGUCCAGUCACAAUACACAGCAGAUUCACGUGUCAUUAUAACCUAUAGUUACUUCGAGGAGAGUAGUAGACUGGUAGAUAUUCACCUUCAGAACACUGAGUUUCGCCCUGCUUCACUUUGCAGAUUUCGCUUCCUUAUGUCCCCACUGUAAAGGGGUGUACUGUACACACCAAUGCCAACAAAGUGAAGUCCAAGUGAAAAUCCAAUAUCCAUACAACACUCCCACAUUACACUUGGCAUUGCUUCUAUCGAAACUCCUCACAUGGCAGAAAUUUUGAUAGUUUAAGUGAAAAUCCAAUAUUGUUAAAUCCAUUUAUCGAAACUCCUAACAACAUUCUUACAUUAAAAUCUUUCCUAGACUAUCAGAUUUAGCAUCCAACACCCUAUUAAAAAGCUCAUUGACAUUUACAUUGUAUUGUAUUGUAUUGUAUUGUCUUGUAAUAAUAGUGUACCUUAACUAGACUUAAAGCCAUUGUAAGGGCUACUGUAUUUUCAGUGAACAAAUCUGGAAGUCUAAGUGUAACUAGAAAAAUUGCAUUUCCUUGCAGAAAAUGCGUGGAAAUGCUGAGUGCUGAAAGCUGAAAAAGCAAUGCUAAGCUGCUAAUAAAACAUGGAGAAAGAUAUUAAUGUAAAAGCUGUUGAAGGGGUGAAAAAGAAAUAUAAGUUGAAUAAUUGUGAACAUGGUUGAAGGACAAACAGUAUGAAUAUGCGCCAUGAAUUGAAAAUUUAUUAAUGCUGAAAGAGGCCAGAAAAAUGACUGAAAUUGCACAAAGUUUGAAUGGAGAAGUAAAUCACCUUAAAAAGCAGGAAGGUGAGAAGCGGCAUAAGUUAAUUUGUUGUUCUAGUGGUAGUAUGAUAAGUAGUCAUAGUAGUGAUAUUAGUAGUCAUGUAGUGAUAUUAGUAGUCAUGUAAGCAGUACAAAUAGUUUGAGAAUAGGAGAAGUCAAAGUAGUAGAGCUAGUGGUAGACGUAGUAGUAGCAGUAGAGAAAGUAGAAAUAGUAGCAAUAGUAGUUGAAGUAAACUCCUGGCCCCGGGGCCCAGA
RNAcentral lists this long non-coding RNA (2271 nucleotides) under Xyrichtys novacula (pearly razorfish). The record is from RNAcentral. Lineage: Eukaryota; Metazoa; Chordata; Actinopteri; Labriformes; Labridae.